This is a long non-coding RNA of Populus trichocarpa (black cottonwood), 693 nucleotides long. RefSeq lists it as uncharacterized. Lineage: Eukaryota; Viridiplantae; Streptophyta; Magnoliopsida; Malpighiales; Salicaceae. The transcript is spliced from 3 exons. The record is from RefSeq and is a predicted model, not a curated record.
UAUUAGUUAGUUACAAUAGCUGGUGGGAGUGAAGAAAAUAGAGCAGUCGCUAUAUAUAACGAGUACAAGCACUCCUCAGUUGGCUGUUGGAGAAGGCGCGAGAGAGAAGGUCGCGGGAAAAAAAAAGAGUGUGCAUGGCAUCUGGGUUUUGUCUUUUGUUUUGUCCUUGUGACUAUACAAGACUGAGUUUUGUAGUGGAGAAAAAUGGCAAUAACACUGAACAAUGGAUUCAAGAUGCUAAUAAUUGGCUUAGGUGUAUGGCGGAUGGAAGGGAAAGAAAUCAGAAACCUCAUUAUUAAUCCUAUUAAGCUUGGCUACCGUCAUUUUGAUUGUGCAGCUGAUCACAAGAGUGAAGCAAUAAUAGGGGAGGUGUUAGCCGAAGUAUUCAAAACAGGGCUUGCUUAGAGGGAGGAUCUUAGGUUUAGUUUAAUCACAGAUUUUAACACUCGCAUGAUCUCAUUCAACCACAACAGCAACCGCAAUAUCAAACAAGCUUUAAGAUACUGUUUGGUAAUGUGGCUGCGGGUAAGAUUCACCCGCAGCCACACAUUUUAAUAUUUGAUAAAGGAAACAAAACUGAUUUUGCUUGGUAGGGCCCAAUAAUUUUUGCUGCCUAGCCACAGGAUUGGAGAAGCAGCAUUUUGCUACUUCUCGUGGUUAUUUUUAGGAAUAGUGGAGUCAUGCUCCACUAUC